Molecule: transfer RNA, 74 nt
Filed under: Planctomycetota bacterium
Lineage: Bacteria; Pseudomonadati; Planctomycetota
Description: Planctomycetes bacterium (bioreactor metagenome) tRNA-Cys
Rfam family: tRNA
About the family: Transfer RNA (tRNA) molecules are approximately 80 nucleotides in length. Their secondary structure includes four short double-helical elements and three loops (D, anti-codon, and T loops). Further hydrogen bonds mediate the characteristic L-shaped molecular structure. tRNAs have two regions of fundamental functional importance: the anti-codon, which is responsible for specific mRNA codon recognition, and the 3' end, to which the tRNAs corresponding amino acid is attached (by aminoacyl-tRNA synthetases). tRNAs cope with the degeneracy of the genetic code in two manners: having more than one tRNA (with a specific anti-codon) for a particular amino acid; and 'wobble' base-pairing, i.e. permitting non-standard base-pairing at the 3rd anti-codon position.
Source: RNAcentral
GGCGGCAUAGCCAAGUGGUAAGGCAGUGGAUUGCAAAUCCACCAUCCCCGGUUCAAAUCCGGGUGCCGCCUCCA